RNAcentral lists this ribosomal RNA (500 nucleotides) under uncultured Myrionecta. RNAcentral's name for it is "SSU rRNA". It matches the Rfam family "Eukaryotic small subunit ribosomal RNA", at positions 34 to 601 of the family's 1831-position model. The record is from RNAcentral. Lineage: Eukaryota; Ciliophora; Litostomatea; Cyclotrichida; Mesodiniidae.
AUAUUCAGACUAGCCAUGCACGUCUAGUACAAACUAAAUGAUGGUGAAACUGCAAAUGGCUCAUUACAACGGUUAUGAUGUACCCGGGAGUUCCGAUGGAUAUUUCCAGUAACACUAGAACUAAUACAUGUCCCUGCGUUUAUUAGUUUCGCACAGUCCGUCGCUGAGUCAUGGUAAACAGUUGAUCGACUCGACGUCCCGGAACAGUUUCCGCCCCAUCAGCUUCGAUGGUUGGGUAUUGGCCUACCAUUGCAACAACGGGUAACGAGGAAUUAGGGUUUGAUUUCGGAGAGGGAGCCUGAGAAACGGCUACCACAUCUACGGAUAGCAGCAGGCGCGCAAAUUACCCAAUGCAGACACUGUGAGGUAGUGACGAGAAAUAAUAAAGCGGGACUUCUGUUUCGCUAUUAUAAUGAGGAAUAACCAAAGGUCAUUCCGAUUAGCAACUGAUGGGAAAGUCUGGUGCCAGCAGCCGCGGUAAUACCAGCGUCAGUAGCAUA